This 415-nucleotide ribosomal RNA is filed under the name uncultured bacterium. RNAcentral describes it as "partial 16S ribosomal RNA". It matches the Rfam family "Bacterial small subunit ribosomal RNA", at positions 361 to 773 of the family's 1533-position model. The record is from RNAcentral.
AUAUUGGACAAUGGGUGGAAGCCUGAUCCAGCCAUCCCGCGUGCAGGAAGACGGCCCUAUGGGUUGUAAACUGCUUUUAUACAGGAAUAAACCUACUCACGUGUGAGUAGCUGAAGGUACUGUAAGAAUAAGCAUCGGCUAACUCCGUGCCAGCAGCCGCGGUAAUACGGAGGAUGCAAGCGUUAUCCGGAUUUAUUGGGUUUAAAGGGUCCGUAGGCGGGCUAAUAAGUCAGUGGUGAAAUCAAGCAGCUUAACUGUUUAACUGCCAUUGAUACUGUUAGUCUUGAGUGAAUUUGAAGUUGCCGGAAUAUGUAGUGUAGCGGUGAAAUGCAUAGAUAUUACAUAGAACACCUAUUGCGAAGGCAGGUAACUAAGAUUUAACUGACGCUGAUGGACGAAAGCGUGGGGAGCGAAC